UGCAAGUCGAGGGGUAUAGUUCUUCGGAACUAGAGACCGGCGCACGGGUGCGUAACGCGUAUGCAAUCUACCUUUUACAGAGGGAUAGCCCAGAGAAAUUUGGAUUAAUACCUCAUAGCAUAGCAAUCUCGCAUGAGAUCACUAUUAAAGUCACAACGGUAAAAGAUGAGCAUGCGUCCCAUUAGCUAGUUGGUAAGGUAACGGCUUACCAAGGCUACGAUGGGUAGGGGUCCUGAGAGGGAGAUCCCCCACACUGGUACUGAGACACGGACCAGACUCCUACGGGAGGCAGCAGUGAGGAAUAUUGGACAAUGGGCGCAAGCCUGAUCCAGCCAUGCCGCGUGCAGGAUGACGGUCCUAUGGAUUGUAAACUGCUUUUAUACGAGAAGAAACACUCCAACGUGUUGGAGCUUGACGGUAUCGUAAGAAUAAGGAUCGGCUAACUCCGUGCCAGCAGCCGCGGUAAUACGGAGGAUCCAAGCGUUAUCCGGAAUCAUUGGGUUUAAAGGGUCCGUAGGCGGUUUAGUAAGUCAGUGGUGAAAGCCCAUCGCUCAACGGUGGAACGGCCAUUGAUACUGCUAAACUUGAAUUAUUAGGAAGUAACUAGAAUAUGUAGUGUAGCGGUGAAAUGCUUAAAGAUUACAUGGAAUACCAAUUGCGAAGGCAGGUUACUACUAAUGGAUUGACGCUGAUGGACGA
Molecule: ribosomal RNA, 699 nt
Filed under: Flavobacterium tructae
Lineage: Bacteria; Pseudomonadati; Bacteroidota; Flavobacteriia; Flavobacteriales; Flavobacteriaceae
Description: bacterial SSU rRNA
Rfam family: Bacterial small subunit ribosomal RNA
Source: RNAcentral